CUAGUUCGAUUUGAACAUAGAGAGAGAACCUUGUUUCUUUAUCUUCUUCAUCUUCCAGCUUUUACAUCAAAUCCCAAUUUGUUCUCUAAACUAUGGUACCCGACAGAAUCCAAGGUAGAGCUCAUGGAUGAUUCACCAAGCAAUGCUUCACAUUCCUCGGGUGCAUGGUGUGUUGAAGAGACCCGUAGGAACCCUCCUAACAUAUGCAGUUUCUCAGCCACUUCUCUCAUUGUAGGCCUUUCAUCCCCCUUCAUGUUCAAACAUUCCUUUGCAAGCUCGGCAAUUUCGUGGAUGACAUCCAUGGUUUCUUUUCCAAUGAUUUGAUCAUCCAAUAUCUCUUCAAGUCGACUAUCUUUCAUUGCUUCAAUGAAGCUGAAGGCAAGAGCUUUUCCUUGACUACUCCCAUCAUAAUAAAUUGCCUUUUUCCUUGUGAUGAGCUCCACUAAAAUUACUCCAAAGCUAUAUACAUCACUCUUUGCUGUUAGUUGACGAACUAGAAAGUAUUCCGGGUCCAAAUAACCAAGAGUUCCUUGGACCAUCGUUAUGAAUUGGGUUUCGUCAAUAGACAUCAUCCUCGAUGCACCGAAAUCUGAUACCUUUGGCACAUAGUUAUGAUCUAAAAGUAUGUUGAGCGACUUCACAUCUCCAUGAACGAUCGGUGGGGAUGCCGAUGAAUGUAAGUAAGCAAGUGCUUCUGCAGAUUCUCUGGCUAUUCGUAGACGAGUGGUCAAGGGAAUUAGUUUCCCGUCGUUGUCAUGGAUGAACUCGAAGAGGGUUCCAUUGGGGAUGAACUCAUAAAUCAACAUGGGAAUUUCCACUUCCAAGCAACAACCCAAGAGCCGUACAAUGUUCUUGUGAUUGAUCUGAGAAAGAAUAAUCAUCUCCCGUAUAAAUUCUUCACUUUGGUCGUCGGUGACUACCUUAGACCUCUUGAUGGCCACUACCCUUCCAUCGGCUAUGUUUCCUUUAUAAACGGUGCCAUGGCCUCCUCGCCCAAUUUCUCGACUCUUAUCGAAAUUAUCUGUUGCUUUCUCUAUAUCCUCUUCGGUGUAUAUUUUGACAGUAUCAAUUUGCUUUGAUCUGAUUUCUUCGUAUAAUCUCAAGCCUCCAUUUUGCUGGAAAAAUUUAUCUUUUUCUCUAAGAAGCUUCCUUCUUUGAAACGCUAAGAUUAUGCAGAAGAUACAAGUAAUGAACAAGACAAGCCCAACACAACUGCCUGCACAAAGGGAUGAGUUUCAUGUCAAUUAUUUUGCAAACUCUUCCGGAGAUCGAAUAACGAGUUUCCAAAAUAUUGUUCGGACGAAGCCUAUUAAUGAAGAUUAAAAGGAUAAGAAAUUUCAAGCUUUUUUUAAGUAGGAUGACUUAAUCGAAAUAAAAACUCGAAUCUGAAUAGAUUAUUGUUUUUCUUCUGAUUGAAGUUUUAAGAGAAGGUUUAAGCUAAUACGGAAGGAAGGAUGAGAACUUGUACCUAUAACAAUCUUCGUUGAUGUCGGAAUUCCGUGAUCUCGGACACAUGGUUCCGAUUUAGGGUCCUUGCCGCUGUGACCUUUUGGGCAUGAGCAGCUGUAGUUGCCUGGGGUGUUGUUGCACUUUCCAUGACAUGUAUACAGAUUUGGCGAGCUGCACUCGUCGAUAUCUAAGGAUUGUCAAAGAAUCACAAGGGAAAAUUGUAAGACCACAUACAACAAUCGAAAACAGGAGAGUUGGGGGAGAGAUGCAUGCUGACCUUUGCAGCCAUCCUGGAGGUAAGGAUUGCCUUGGAAACCUGUGGAGCAAUUGCAGAUAUAGCCUUGUAAACUCGGGGACUUGAAACAUUCACUGUUGGUGCUGCGGCAUGCAUAUGAAGGGUUUCUCUUGGCCUCCUCGCAGGUCUGGUUGCCGGCUACCCAGUCCAGCACGAGUGGGACGCCGUCCUUGUGCUUGUCUUCAAAGGUGCGGUUGCCGAGGUCAGACUUGUCGAAGGAGAACCUUGCCUCGUCGGCAAUGAAGGCAUAGGUGCAGGGGCUGUAGUCCUUGUAGGAAGAAAUAUUGAUGAAAUAGGCCAACCCGGUCGUAAAAUUGUCCAGCUUCUCCGGGAUGUUGGUCUGGCAGCAGCCGGUGCCAGAGCACGAUCCGCUUGUGAUGUUUGCCCCUUCGAAGCAGAAGGAGGCGCACCCAGUUCCUGAUGUAUAGUUGUCCCCGCCUAAGAGGAUGCCAACGACGUUGCAGCCCAUGGUCGUGAACCUGUUCUUGGUGCUGGAUACCCAAAAUGGUUUGUCGCCAAGGUCUAGAGAAGGCCUUUGACCAGCCACCACGCCGUCGGUACUGUUGAAACAAUCCCAGCUAAUGUAAUUCAGGAUGCGUGCUUGGCCCUGGGGCAAGAAUAUCUCCUCCACUGUAAUGUUCCCCUCGCGACCGCCCAAGAAAGCUCUGGGAGUCGCAGAGCCGUUACCGACUUCGCAAGUGACCUCGAAGCCUUCCCUGAAACACCCAUCGCCGAUGCCGAAGGGGUACGGGAUGCUAACACCGCCGCAUGUAUCAUUGCAACCUGGUGACACCACGUUCGGCGACGGUGGUGCCGAUGCUGCUGCUGCCGUCGUUGUUGCUUGGAGCAGCGUCAACAACAACAGCUUAAACGCGAACGGUGGCAGCGUGAAUCCCAUCCCUUAUGCUUGCUUGAAAUUAAUUGUACCCUUAGGCUUCCAUCAGAUUUAUAAGCCCACAGAUGGCGAAGCGAGCAUAAUUCGUCGGUCAGCUGUUGUUGCUUAGAAUAAUUGCUUGAUCGAAUACUCGUUCUGCAGCCCAUGUGAAGACUUGUCAAGGCGAAGCCAGCACAUGGCAUAUACUAGAAAAUACAGUCGCUUGGAAAGCUGGAGAUUGACUGGUACAGGCCCCGUCCAAGUCUUCUUUAAGACUUGGACGGUACAGGAGGCCUACUCGCAGUUUGACUCUGGAAUCCACACCUACUCGAAGACUUGCUUGCUUGACUAUGCUUAAUCCAAGAGACAAAUAAUUAACGCCAAAUUUCCAGUAAAAGUCCCCUCUCUCUCUCUCUCUCUCUCUCUCUCUCUCUCUCUCUCUCUAUAGUUUUAUCCCUGCUUAAUGCUCGCUGAUUGGCAUGGUCGAGAGGUGGAAUAUUUGGCUACUGAAAGAUGGCGGCGACAUGCUAUUUGUAGUGUGUUUUAAUAAUUAAGGCCAAUAAAGUUGAUGAUUAUUAUUAAUUAUGUGAAAUCCUAUGUAUUAUAUUAUGAAUUUGUUUAAAAAGAUUAUUACAUUAAACGGAGUAUAAGAUGCUCACAUGAAUUCGAAUCAAGAUCCAUCAAUUGUGAAACCAUACAGUAACCAUUAGAAUGUCUCGAUAAAUAUAUUAUUAUAUUAAGUAGUUAGUCACAAAUUUGGUUAUAGUUUGGUUCAGUCGUCCAAUGGAAACUACUCCGAAAGCCAAACAAAGAAGAAGAAAGAGAAAGACAUUGACUUUAUGUAGUUCCUAUCAUCGUCAUCAUCAUCAUCUUAGCUUCUUAAUUGCCAUUUUUUAAAUGAUCAAAAGUCAAACAAGUCACCAUCUCAAAAUUUGUAGUCAGAGAGAAAGCAAGAGAGAAGUAACCAGGAAUUUGAUGAGGUCAAAUUUGAUUAUUCUAUUGAAUAAGGAAUUCAUAAAUAUAAAAAAAAAUAAGAAAUUGAGUGAUAACUAAAAGAAGUAAAUAUAAGCGUAGAAUAAAUAAAUAGGUUAUUUGAAGGAAUUCUUAUAUCUCUCGUUAUCAAAUUUGUCACGGCGAAGUAGCAAUCAAAUUUGUUACCGUGAGAAGUAGCAAUCAAAUUUGAAGGAUCUCUUAUAAUAUCUUGUUACCGUGAGAAGUAGCAAUCAAAUUUGAAGGAUCUCUUAUAAUAUCUUGUUACCGUGAGAAGUAGCAAUCAAAUUUGUUGAGACACAAAAAUUGAUAUAUUUUCAAUGUGAGAGUUCAGGAGAAUAUAGUGUAUGACUAGUGUAGCUAACUAUUUUUCAAAGCACUUAGUGUAGACAUUUGUAAAGGCUAGCACUUAGUGUAUGAGUAGUGUAGCUAACUAUCACCUUCUUAUGAUUUAUGAUUUAUGAUUGAUCCGACAAAGAAUGAUCAUCUCAGUUAUAACCUAUGUUUUCUUGUCUUUGACGUUUUGGUGUUCUGUUUAAUUUCCCAAGCAAAAUAGUAGAGGUAAUAUAUACAUAUAGUAAUACCAUCAUCGAUGACCUCGAAUAUUGUAUAGGAAGUAGAUUUGUUGGAGUUGCUACGUCACACUUAGAUUUUGGCAUGAAAAUUGACGAGAGAAAGUGUAACUCGUCAAUCAUACACACACGUCGGUGCUUCCCACACCGGUAAGGCCGCCCGAAAGAGCAUCCACGCCGCCACACGGGUGAUGCCUUCCUUGGAAAGGCCUUACCAUAUUGAUACUAAAAGAAUAAGGUGCAAAUCCAAAAUAUAUGAUGUAGAAAUAAUUUAGUUUAUGUAUUAUUUGAAUUUUUUUUUAUUAAUUUAGGGAUAAUUUGCAUAUCACAUAAGUUGUCAUGAGGUAGCAUUUAUUCAAGGCAAUGAAUAUAGAAAAAAAAAAUGGGAAGAAAUUAAAUUCAUUAUUGAUCGAAGAUUAUAAAUCUUGAUUAAAGAUUUUAAAUUUUUAUCUAUACAAAUAUAAUUUUUUUAUUAAUCAAUAAUUGUAAUUAUCUCUAUAAAUUUAAAAUAUUGAAAGAUUUUUCUAAAAAAAUGGUCAAGAAUAUUAUUUUUUAAAGAAAAUAAAUUAUUAUAUAUUUAAUUUAAUUUAAUUAAUUAAUUAAUUUAUUUAUUUAUUUCGAGCCCUUAAAAAGGACUAGAACAUUAUAAUAGAUAACCAGAAAUUGAUCAAUAAAUUAUGUUCUUCGCAUGUGUUAAUGUACGAGAUCAUAUUUGAUUUUCUUAUGGAAUGAUUUUAUCGUCCACAUGAGAAACUUGUGAAAAUAUAGGAUCUUCAUCUUCAUAGUGUUUUUCAUUAGUUAGAACCAUUUAUCUUUUGAUUAUUAUCAUUCUCAUCCUUUUAGUCAUUCAUCAUAAAAAUAUAUAUAUUUACUACAAUUGAGCUACUGACGGUAUGAAUUACUAUCAUAAUAUUUUCUAUUACUAUAUAAACUUAAAGAAAAAAGAACAAAUGUUACAAGAGAUCCUGUCUCCCGUGCUGUCUUUGACUAUAGAUUUGAACCUCCUAGCGUUUUAGGGCCCUCAUUGUCGGGCAAGAUCCGGAUUCAAGCGACCUUGCCACCGUUGAGGAAUGAAAGCUUCUUCUACGAUUCCUAAAGAAUUUUGCCAAAAUAUGAGGCACUGUUGUGAUGCCUCCUACUAGGGUUUUGCCUUCACCCUAAGACGAUUAGGGUUGAAGACGGUAUGUGAAAUAAAUGGCUUUGCGCUUGCAUUAGCUACAUCAUCCUUGUUGCCACCGAAUCACCGAGAGAUCUCCCUUCGAGUGAGAGUGAGAGGGCAAAAGAACAUAAAUAUUAAAAGAACUAUAAAGAACUAGAACAACUAAAUAAAUUAAUCAUAGAGAGAGAGCUUAUAAAAAAACACGAUUAGAGAAUGAAUAGUAUGAAUACACAAAAUAAUAAUAAUUUAAUCAAGAUACCUUUUCAUUUUUAAUUUUGUCAGCUUUGACAUAAAUUAGUUGUAGAAUUAAAGAGAUCCAAGGAAUAUUUUUGUAAGGAUAAGUGACGAAAUGACAUUUAAACUCAUAACCUCAUUGAAAGUUUUUACUAGCUAAUAUAGUUAGCAUGGAAGGAGUGCCACCUGAUAAGAUAAUUAGUCUCUUAAUUUAUUUAAAUUAAAAUUAAACUAAGAUAAUUAGUCCCUUCCUAAUGUUGGAAGAUGUCUUCUUCUCUUCUUUUCGAGAGAGAUUGAGAUACUACGAGCAUCUUGUUAUCCCUUUUAAGUCUGAAUUCAAAUAUAAAUUGAAUCUCAAUUUGAUUGAAAAUUUUAAUCAAACAAUAUUUGAUUCAAAUUAAAAAAGGAGAUAAAAAUUUUUAAAGGCGUGAAUAAUGAUUCUCUAUCCUUCAUGCAUGUUUGAUAAAAAGAUCAUCCGAGAUAUAGGAAAGUCGACGAGGAAUAAACUUAUUCAAGACAACAAAAAAUAGGAAGGCAAUAGUACUGAGAGUCUCGAUCCACAUGUGCGCCAAUGAUGUAUUGUUAUUAACACCAAAGCUCUUAACAAAUAAAUAUAAAAUUAAGUAGAUAAAAUCCUAUAAAAAAAAUAAGUAAAAAUAAAAAAGAUAAAAUUUUAUUUUUUAAAAUAUUUAGAUAAUAGCUUUACUCAAAUUUUACAUACCCAACCUCAACCAGUUUGUCACCUCUUUAUUGACUUCCUCAAACACUUUCUUUUAAAGUAUAACAAGUUAGUUUUUUUUCGUUUUUGUCGAACUAUAAUAGUUAUUACGUCUGCAAUUUCGGAUCUACUGUUCUUUCCCUAUUUUAUAAGAUCAUCACUUAUUCCAAUGAGUAUAUCAUUAGAUUCAGUCAUUUUGAUAUAAACUCUAAUUAUUUAACUGAUGGUUAUGCUAACCUUUGUAGGUUGCUUGGCUCUCCUCACACUUGGAAAUGCUUGGAAGCCAAUGCCCCCUUUUCCAGCACAUAUUGAUUCAUUAUAUAUAUAUAUAUAUAUAUAUAUAUAUAUAUAUAUAUAUAUAUAUAUAUAUAUAUAUACUUAAAAUUUUUAUAAAAAUUGAAAGCAAAUUUCAUGACAUGAAAUGAUGUAUAUAAUAUUCACACAUGGAUCUAAGUCUGAAACCUAUCAAUACACUGACCAAUAUUACCCAUAUGGAUUUAAGUUUAAAAUCUAUUACUUGUAUAAUAAUGCACUAACCAACUCGCAAAUCUCAAUAAAGAUUAAAAGAAUUAAUUAGAUCGCUGGCUCUCGUAAGUAUGUAAAUAAUUUAAAAGAAUAUGUUAUUUAUAUAACAUGUGAAAUUUUUAUGGGACUCGAUAAAACUAUAGAUCAUACUUUUUUAUUUUAUUCUAUCAUUUUUUUAAUUUUUUUCUGAAAGAAAUUGGUCAUCCAUCUUUUUAAAUAAAAAGAAAGAAUAAGAAACUUGAUCCAAUCAAAUCAAAUGGGCAAUUGAGAUUGAAAGCACAAGCGAGAUGUAUGGUUUUUUUUAGGACCUUCGCUACCAUAUAAAUAUUACAAAAUUAUUAUUAUAGUAAAAUAAUUUUUUUUCUCUUUGUAUAUUAAAAUAAGUUUUUCAUCAAAAUAUUAACCAUAAAAGUAUAAACAGUAGAAUAAUAAAUCAAUCACAAAAUGAGAUACUGAAUAUAAUAAAUUUAAAAUAAAUCUUCUUCAAAAUUUUUAGAAUAUUAUAAUAACAUCAAGAACACAUAUCUCAGCUCAAUAUUAACAUAUCAUCAUCACCAUAGAUGGAUUUAAUGAAAAAAAAAAAUUUAGAUUUCACAAAGCGGAUAUAAUAGGAAAGUAUUUUAGAGAGAAUAAACUAUAUAUCGGUAUCAUUAAGAUUAUAAAGCUUAUUGUAAAAAUUCUUCACCUAAAAUUUAGGUCAAAAUGAACGAAGUUUAGUCGUUCCAUCGAGCAAAAGCUUCCAAACCUUAACUUUCGUACUCUUUUUCUUUGUUCUUUCUUUUCUGUGUCCCUGCAGUUUCACCACAUGCACUUAUUCACACACCACUAUCUUCCUACGUCUCCGCUUUUUUUUUUUUUUUUUAAUACAUCAGACUUGGGCUCAAUGCCCAAAUCAAUCGGGCCAAGCCUACCCAUGGGCUGUACCUAAUAGGUCUUUAAAUUAUGCAUACCAAUGGACGAGACGUUGACUUGGGAUCAACUGUUGAAUAGUCAACGAUAAGGAUAGCAACUACAACUAAUGUGAAUUUGGAACGAAAUAUAGCAGCUCGUGGAGGGCAUUUUCUUUUUUCCGGUUUAGAUUUGUGAUUUUUCUUUUUGCCAUAAGGAAUCAUUUUGGAUAUGCAUGGGAUGUAUGUAAGCUUCUUGUUGUUUUAGUCUUGCGCAUACACAUGCCUUUGAAUUAUUUGGCAGAGAGACUUAGGUUGACUUGUAUCUAAUUUUUGUUAAAUAUCAAAACUUGUAAUUUAACGAACCCUAAAUCUCUUAAGCCUCUUUUACCUCUACCUUAUCUCCUCCUCCCUUCUUCUUCUUCUUAUUUCUAAAUUAGUAUUUCAUUAGCCAUCUAUUUCCACUACUUUGAUUUCAACUACCAGUUUUACAUAGAAAAAGAAAUAUAAAUUACAAUAAUGAGAGUUACAAUUCAUUAUACAUUUAUUUAUCAUUCCUGUAAUAGAAGUAACAUAAGUUACAAAACAAGCAACCAAUAAUAUUCUGUUCUGCUAAUUCGAUUUUUACAUAGAAAGAGAACCUAGUUUCUUUAUCUUCUUCAUCUUCCCGCUUUUACAUCAAAUCCCAAUUUGUUCUCUGAACUGUGGUACCCGACAGAAUCCAAGGUACAGCUCAUAGAUGAUUCACCAAGCAAUGCUUCACGUUCCUCGGGUGCAUGGUACGUUGAAGAGACCUGUAGGAACCCUCCUAAUAUAUGCAGUUUCUCAGUCACUUCUCUCAUUGUAGGCCUUUCAUCCCCGUUCAUGUUCAAACAUUCCUUUGCAAGCUCGGCAAUUUCAUGGAUGACAUCCAUGUUUUCUUUUCCCAUGAUUUGAUCAUCCAAUAUCUCUUCAAGUCGGCUAUCUUUCAUUGCUUCGAUGAAGCUUGAGGCAAGAGCUUUUCCUUGACUACUCCCAUCAUAAUAAAUUGCCUUUUUUCUUGUGAUGAGUUCCACUAUAACUACUCCAAAGCUAUAGACAUCACUCUUUGCUGUCAGUUGACGGACUAGCAAGUACUCUGGGUCCAAAUAACCAAGAGUUCCCUGAACCAUCGUUAUGAAUUGGGUUUCAUCCAAAGACACCAUCCUCGAUGCACCAAAAUCCGAUACCUUUGACACAUAAUUAUGAUCUAGAAGUAUGUUGAGUGACUUCACAUCUCCAUGAACGAUCGGAGGGGAUGCCGAUGAAUGCAAGUAAGUGAGUGCUUCAGCAGAUUCUCUAGCUAUUCGUAGACGAGUAGUCAAGGGAAUUAGUGUCCCGUCGUUACCAUGGAUGAAGUCGAAGAGGGUUCCAUUGGGGAUGAACUCAUAAACCAACAUGGGAAUUUCUACUUCCAAGCAACAACCCAAGAGCCUUACAAUGUUCUUGUGAUUGAUCUGAGAAAGAAUAAUCAUCUCCCGUACGAAUUCUUCACUUUGGUCCUUGGUGACUAUCUUAGACCUCUUGAUGGCCACUUCCCUGCCACCGUCUAUGUUUCCUUUAUAAACAGUGCCAUGGCCUCCUUGGCCAAGUUCUCGACUCUUAUUGAAAUUAUCUGUUGCCUUCUCUAGAUCCUCUUUGGUGUAUAUUUUGACAGUAUCAAUUUGCUUUGAUCUGAUUUCUUCGUAUAACCUUAAGCCUCCAUUUUGCUGGAAGAAUUUAUCUUUUUCUUUGAGAAGCUUCCUUCUUUGAAAUGCUAAGAUUAUGCAGAAGAUGCAAGUGAUGAACGAGACAAACCCAACACAAAUGCCUGCACAAAGGGAUCAGUUUCAUGUCAAUUAUUUUACAAACUCUUCCGGAGAUCGAAUUACGAGUUUUCAAAAUAGAAGAUUGUUACCGACUAUUAAUGAAGAUUAAAAGGAUAAAAAAAAUUCAAGCUUUGUUUAAGUAGAACGGCUUAUUCGAAAUAAAAACUUGAAUCCGAAUACAUUAUUUUUCCUAUUGAUUGAAGUUUUAAGAGAAGGUUUAAACUAAUACGGAAGGAAGGAAGGAUGAGAACUUGUACCUAUAACAAUCUUCGUUGAUGUCGGAAUUCCGUGAUCUCGGACACAUGGUUCCGAUUUAGGGUCCUUGCUGCUUUGACCUUUUGGGCAUGAGCAGCUGUAGUUGCCUGCUGUGUUGCUGCACGUUCCAUGACAUGUAUAGAGAUUUGGCGAGCUGCACUCGUCGAUAUCUAAGGAUUGUCAAAGAAUCACGAGGGAAAAUUGUAAGACCACAUACAACAAUCGAAAAUAGGAGAGUUGGGGGAGAGAUGCAUGCUGACCUUUGCAGCCAUCCUGGAGGUAAGGAUUGCCUUGGAAACCUGUGGAGCAAUUGCAGAUAUAGCCAGGUGGACUGGUGGAGUCGAUACAGUCACUGUUGCCGCAUGCAUAUGAAGAAAGGUUUCUCUUAGCCUCCUCGCAGAUCUGGUUGCCGGCUACCCAGUCCAGCACGAGUGGGACGCCGUCCUUGUACUUGUCUCCAAAGGUGUGGUUGCCGAGGUCAGACUUGUUGAAGGAGAACCAGUCCUGCUCGGCAAUGAAGGCAUAGGUGCAGGGGCUGUAGUCCUUGUAGGUAGUAAGAUUGACGAAAUAGGCCAACCGGGUCGUGAAAUUGUCCAGCUUCUCCGGGAUGGUGGUCUGGCAGCAGCCGGUGCCAGAGCACGAUCCGCUUGCGAUGCUUGCCCCUUCGAGGCAGAAGGAGGCGCACCCGGUUCCUAAUGUAUAGUUGUCCCCGCCAAAGAGGUAGCCAAGGACGUUGCAGCCCAUGGUCGUGAACCUGUUCUUGGUGCUGGAUACCCAAAAUGGUUUGUCGCCAAGGGCUAGAGAAGGUUCUUCACCAGCCACCCAGUAGUCGGUACUGUUGAAACAAUCCCAGCUAAUGUAAUUCAGGAUGCGUGCUUGGCCCUGGGGCAAGAUUAUCUCCUCAAUUGUAAUGUUCCUCUCGCGGCCGCCCAAGAAAGCUCUGGGAGUCGCAGAGCCGUUAACGACUUCGCAAGUGACCUCGAAGCCUUCCCUGAAACACCCAUCGCCGAUGCCGAAGGGGUACGGGAUGCUAACACCGCCGCAUGUAUCAUUGCAACCUGGUGACACCACGUUCGGCGACGGUGGUGCCGAUGCUGCUGCAGUCGUUGUUGCUUGGAGCAGCGUCAACAACAGCAGCUUAAACGCGAUCGGUGGCAGCGUGGAUCCCAUCGCUUAUGCUUGCUUGAAAUUAAUGGUACCCUUAGGCUUCCAUCAGAUUUAUAAGCCCACAGAUGGAAAAGCGAGCAUAAUUCCUCGUUCAACUGUUGUUGCUUAGAAUAAUUGCUUGAUCGAAUCCUCGUUCUGCAGCCCAAGUGAAGACUUGUCAAGGCGAAGCCAUCACACGGCAAAUACAAGAAGACCCUGUCGCUUGGAAAACUGGACAGUGACUGGUACAGAUCCCGUCCAAGUCUUCUUUAAGAUUCCUGAAGGUUGGAGCUGUGAUCGGUACAGGAGUCCUCCUCGCAGUUUUGACUCUGGAAUCCACACCCAACCGUAGACUUGCUUGCUUAAUCCAAGAUACAAAUAAUUAUUGCCAAAUUUUCAGUAAAAGCCCCUCUCUCUCUCUCUCUCUCUCUCUCUCUCUCUCUCUCUCUCUCUAUAGUUUUAUCCCUGCUUAAUGCUCGCUGAUUNNNNNNNNNNNNNNNNNNNNCUCUCUCUCUCUCUCUCUCUCUCUCUCUCUCUCUCUCUCUCUAUAGUUUUAUCCCUGCUUAAUGCUCGCUGAUUGGCAUGGUCGAGAGGUGGAAUAUUUAGCUACUCAAAGAUGGCGACAUGCUAUUUGUACUGUGUUUUAACAAUUAAGGCCAAUAAAGUUGAUGAGUAUUAUUAAUUAUGUGAAAUCCUACGUAUUAUAUUAUGAAUUUGUUUAAAAGCAUUAUUACAUUAAACGGAGUAUAAGAUGCUCACAUGAAUUCGAAUCAAGAUCCAUCAAUUGUGAAACCAUGCAGUAACCAUUAGAAUGUCUCUAUAAAUAUAUUAUAUCAAGUAGUUAGUCACAAAUUUGGUUAUAGUUUGGUUCAGUCGUCUAAUGGAAACUACUCCGAAAGACAAACAAAGAAGAAGAAAGAGAAAGACAUUGAAUUUAUGUAGUUCCUAUCAUCAUCAUCAUCAUCUUAGCUUCUUAAUUGCCAUUUUUGAAAUGAUCAAAAGUCAAACAAGCCACCAUCUCAAAAUUUAUAGUCGGAGAAAAAACAAGAGAGCUAGAAGUAAGUAAGGAAUUUGACCGGGUCAAAUUUGAUUAUUCUAUUGAAUGAGGAAUCCGUAAAUAUAAAAAUAAAUGGGUUAUUUGAAGAAAUUUUUAUAUAUCUCGUUAUCACGAGAAGUAGUCAUCAAAUUUGUCACCACUAUGUCCUAUUUUGGAUAUGAGAGUUCAUGAGAAUAUAGCGUAUGAGUAUAGCCAACUAUUUUUAAAAGCGAAAGAAAUAUUAUUACGAUGAUAAUAUAUUUUUAAAAAAAUAAAAUAUAUUUUUAUUAUAUUAAAUGACAUUUCACAUGUGAAUUUGAAUCUUAGACUCAUUAUUGGAAGUUCACAUGUGAAUUUGAACACAUAGCCAACUACUUUUAAAAGCGAAAGAAAUAUUAUUACGAUGGUAACAUAUUUUUAAAAAAUAAAAUAUAUUUUUAUUAUAUUAAAUGAUAUUUCACGUGUGAAUUUGAAUCUUAGACUCAUUAUUGGAUGUUCACAUUGUGAAUUUGAAUGCGAGAUUCAUUUAUCGAGCGUUCACUUCAACCUGAAACUUAUUAUUAUAUAAUAAUACGUUAACCAAUCAGAUAUUUUUAGAGACGAUAGCAAUAUGUUUCAUACUGCUUCAUAUUGGAGCCAUUCAUAUCCUCAUUAUUCACAUCAAUAAUUUUUUAUUUUGGAAUUUAUUACGAAUGCUCUCAGCUGCUACAUAGCAUACUGUUAGAAUCCAUAAUAUUCUUAAUUAUCAAGAAGCCAACAGAGAAUAAAUAAGUUAGAGGAGAAGCACCAAAUUAAAUAUUUUUUUUAUCCUGCUAAUAUUGUCUUUUCAACAAAGGAAGUGUUGCCAUUUUACUUGGAAGUUCUUCAUCUUCCAACUUCUAUAUCAAAUCCUAUUUUGUUCUGUAAACUAUGGUGUCCUGUAGUGUGUAAGGUGGGAACCGUUGAUGAUUCACCAAGCAGUCUUUCACACUCUUCAGGAACAUGUUGCAUCGAAGAGCGUUGUUGGAGAGCCCUCUUCGCGUAUAUGGAGCUUCUCGGCCAAUUCUCUCAUUGGAGGAGGCCUUUUUAUCUCCCUCAACAUUCAACACUCCUUUGCAAGCUCGGCAAUUACUUGGAGGAUAUCCAUGCUCUCCUCCCCUGUGAUUCGAUCAUCCAACAUCUCAUCAAGCUUGUUAUCUUUUAAAAUUCACAACUUGUGUUCAGCCAGUCGACAAGCUUCAAAAUCGUGAUUCUUUCAAGAAGAUCAAUGGAAUCCAUAACAUUAUGAGGACAAAAAGAAUAGAACUUCUGGAUUCGAAACUGGUCCGGAUUUGACUCUGGAAUCAUUUCAAAAAUAUGCAGAUGACUUCAAGGAGCAGUACUACUUUCACACAAUUGCAGACUUUGAUGUAAUAUCUGGUCAACAGGAACCAUCAGUAGAGAAUAUUGAUGGUGAAUAUUGGCGGAUAGUAGAGAAGCCAACUGAGGAGAUUGAGGUGCUAUUCUAGAUCACACAAACCGUAACGAAUCUAGUUGUGCACUAGUGUUUCUGUUGAUUAUAGUAUUAUUAGAUGCAUUUCAUACUUCGCAUAAAAUUGCAAAAAUAUCUGGACUUGUCUCUUCUUCCAAUUCGAAGAACAACCAGACUUGCUUCACAAUCUUGUAAUAGCUUUUUGCCUUAUCUUUUCUCUCUGCAUGAAUGUUAUCUUGGGAAGAUGAUGUUUUCUAGCUUAUUUUCUUUCAGAAAUUCAACUGGAAAGUAUUCAGCAUGUCUGAUGUUUACUGGUGUGUUCAGAGGCCCAGAAGAGUUUGUUCUCACUUUCCCUCGAGCUUAUCACGCUGGUUUUAAUUGUGGAUUCAAUCGUGCAGAAGCUGUAAAUAUGGCUCCUCUUGAUUGGUUACCUCAUGGGCAGAAUGCUGUGGAACUUUAUCGUGAACAGGGACGAAAAAUAUCAAUAUCCCUUUCAACUGGAGCUGCAAGGGAAGCUGACUUGUUUUCAAGGCAGUCAGAUUGUGAUGAUAAGACAACUUCCCAUGCUCACAAGGAUAAAAUUCUUCUAGUGCCCCAGACUAAUGUGUUGUUGGCAAACGAAAAUGAUCUGUUGGCUGGCCUGCAUGUUUCUCGUAAUAGGUUAAUGAUGAUGACCAGGUAGAGGAAAACUGCAGAGAGGUUCUCUCCAAUUUAUGUGAUCAACAGUAGGUUGAAUUCCUUCCUGGAAGGGAAAGUGAAUGUGUGAGAUCUGCAGCCAGUGUAGUACCUGUUGCAAAAACCAAGUGCAGAUAUUUUGCCUGCAUAUGAAGCAUCUGAUUGUGUUACUGAACCUAUUCAUCCUCAAAUUAUCCAGAAUUAUGGAAGAGGAGAACCAAAAGAUAAAAGCCAGAAGGGACAAGCUGAGUUCAAUUCUGAGGCUAACAUUGAUAGAGGCAAUUCAUCUACUGAAAUCCAACCUUGUACACAAAGAAAUCUUGAUAUAUGUAACUAUGAGCAGAUGGGCCCUCGAUUGGAAAUGGUGGUGCAAAAGUAACUGCAAUAUUGAGGUUUUGGCAUAUGGUAUUGUGCUUUCUGGAAAGUUUGCUGUUGAUGUUGGGAACAGGAUUCUUGAUUCAUUUCAGGAAAGUUUCUGCUGGAUUUGAAAGUUACUCGGGACAUAAAUUUUUUCUUGUUAUUGUGUACUUUUGCUUUUUGUCUCAUCAUUCACCUGAUAUUUGUCUCAUUAUGCAGGAUAUAGAAGUCAAGUUAAAUACAUUAGCAUUUUAGAUCCAACACAGAUGUGUUACUGUGUAUCUGAAAUUUUGGAUGUUGGAUUACUUGGACUUCUAUUGACAGUGAGUAAUUUUGUCUCUUUGUACCUAUGUCACUGUUUAUGUCAACCAUGCAUCCAGACAUUGUACAUGAUGCUAGAUUAAGAAGCAUCAUUGUAAGUUAUUAUCACAGUAUAAGCAUGACACAUUUUAUCAGUAAGUUGAUCUUAGUAGUCCUUUUGAAUUUAUUCCUUAUCAACUAGUUCACGAUUGAAUUUAUUCGAUGUGUUUGGUGCACCCAUGAAACACAAGAUUCUUCAUUAUUGCAAUAGCAGACUUGUUAUCAUAGUAGAUUUUAGUUAGUCCAUCUUAUUUUUGUUGGAGAUCUAUUAGAAUUCUUACGAGACAAAUUAUUCGACAUGCUAUACUUGUAGUUGCAAUAUGCUCCGCCUCUCUUAAUGUAUCUAAGAACUUUGCUCGCUAAGACUAUCCGUGCAUGAAUCUAUAUAGCAAACCAAAUGCAAAUAUAAUAUCCUAUCUUGAAUGUGUAAGAUAAAUAAACUCUCUAAUUAAACUUGUAUAUUGUUGUUUUUUCAACUCUAUCAUUUAAUAUGGAGUAUUCAUUGGUUUAUAAGUCAUCAUAUAACAUUGUUUUAACAAAUCUUUAGUAUAUUUUAUACUUACUUUGUGUUUUUUCUUUUUGCCAAAAAAAAAAAGGGAAUCAUUUUGGAUAUGCAUGGGAAGCAUGUAAGCCUGCUGUUGUUUUUGUCUUGAUGCAUACACAUGACUUUAAAUUAUUUGGCAGAGAGACUUAGGUUGACUUGUAUCUAAUUUUUGUUAAAUAUCACAUCUUAUAAUUUGUCGUACCCUAAAUCUCUUAGCUUCUUUUACCUCUACCUUUAUCUCCUCCUCUCUUCUUCUUGUUAUUUCUAAAUUAGUAUUUCAUGAGCCAUCUAUUUUCAGUACUUUGAUUUCAACUACCACAAAUAAUCUUACCUUGAAUAGGACUCUUAAAUCAAUAUCUAAUCUAAUCAUAAAGCUUAAGUUAAUAUUCCAAUACUUCCUUCAAACUCGAGUUUUACAUAGAAAAAGAAAUACAGAUUACAAUACUGAGAGUUACAAUCCAUUAUAUAUUUAUUUAUCAUUCCUGUAAUAGAAGUAACACAAGUUACAAAACAAGCAACCAAGAACAGUCUGUUGUUCUACUAGUUCGAUUUGAAAAUAGAGAGAGAACCUUGUUUCUGUAUCUUCUUCAUCUUCCAGCUUUUACAUCAAAUCUCAAUUUGUUCUCUAAACUGUGGUACCCGACAGAAUCCAAGGUAGAGCUCAUAGAUGAUUCACCAAGCAAUGCUUCACAUUCCUCGGGUGCAUGGUGUGUUGAAGAGACCUGUAGGAACCCUCCUAACAUAUGCAGUUUCUCAGCCACUUCUCUCAUUGUAGGUCGUUCAUCCCCCUUGAUGUUCAAAC
RNAcentral lists this long non-coding RNA (16154 nucleotides) under Musa acuminata (dwarf banana). RNAcentral describes it as "long non-coding RNA (MACU_LNC000169)". Lineage: Eukaryota; Viridiplantae; Streptophyta; Magnoliopsida; Zingiberales; Musaceae. The record is from RNAcentral.